GAGCCUGAUGUGGGGCUUGAACCCACUAACCGUGAGAUCAUGACCUGAGCUGAAGUCAGAUGCUAAACCCACUGAGCCACCCAGGCACCUCAAUGCUCACUGAUAAUUUUAACUUGAAAGGCUAAAACCAUACACAUAUCCUCAGAAAGGCAAGCUUGUUGCUUUCUGUUGGAAUCAUCAUUUCAUAGAUUAGUGGUAGAGUAUAAAGUACAAAAUGUUUAGAACCCUGAUUUUCUAUCACUCUCCACUCAUGUGCUCUUGGGCAGAGUUGUGCUGGUCAGAAACAAUGCAACUGCUUUGCAGAGCCCUCCUAAUAAAAACUGAAAUAAGCACAUGGUUUGCGACAUUAGAGAACUUAUUUUUCUAGUGCUUUCAUCUUUCUAUACAUGGUCUCCCUAUGUUGUAAAGAAGAAAACAUAAAAGCUUCCUAUAAAAAGAAACAAAAUAGCUUCUUGAGGGGUAAACCUUGUUGGAAUGUUGUUGAAUUUAUUUAAUAGAGAAUGUACACUUAUCUUCACAGCGUUUCGUUACUGUCAAAAAAUGAGGGAAGUGGGGGCGCCUGGGUGGUUCAGUCAGUUGGGCUUCCGACUUCGGCUCAGGUCACGAUCUUAUGGUUCAUGAGUUUGAGCUCGAAGUUGGGCUGACUGCUGUCACCCUGUCAGAACAGAGCUCACUUCAGAUCUUCUUUCCCCCUCUCUCUGCCUGUCCCUGGCUUGUGCUCUCACCAAAAUAAAUAAAUACUAAAAAAAUAUAUAUAUAAGGUAAGAGCUAGCUGUUGUUUUUUGAGCAUCUGUUAUGUGAUGUGCACUGCAUUAUGCAUCUGUGUAUAUUUCAUUGAAUCUUUAGAUUUAAUUUUAUCUGGCAGGAGUUUGUUCAAUUCUCUAUUAUAAAUGAGGAAAACAAAACACUCAAGAGAGUAAGCAGCUUUUGUCUGUUGGCAUCCCCCCAACCCAGUAGAAAUAUCUGCUCGCCUCUGUCCUUUUCAGUGCCUUAGGGGCUGAACACUAUUGUCUGGUCCAUCGAGGGCUUCCUUGCUGGCUUGUUUCUAAUUGGGUUUGGGCAAAAAGUGGACCCUGCAAGAGAUCGGAAGGCCAGAAAGGAAAAAGACUAGCGUAUUCAUUUCCUGCUGUUGCAUGGUGGCAUUUGUUCACGAGUGAUUGUAGCUCCUGCCAGGCAGCAAACACUUCUGGGAGGGCUCCAGCUCUCAUCAGGUUCUGGUUCUCUAUUUUUCUCCCUUGCCUUAAGCACUAGAGAUAGUAAAGACAUCUUGCCCUCCUGAGUCCUGAAGGCCUCAUAUUCCUUGUUGGUUCCCUUAACCCUGCCCGUACCUUCCUUGACUAAAUUGCUUUCAGAAGCCCAUCUGAAUUGCUUUUUAUUUCCCUUGACCCUAUACACUGUUAGGCAAUUAAGUUGCACAGUUAGUACAUGGUAAACCUGGGAAACCUGGGAUUCUACAGAUUCAGACUUUGGUCUGCCUGAUUGAAAAACUUACGCUUUCCCAUGAAAAUUAAGCUAUUGUUAGUAACUAACAUUAAAUUGUACCUAAGUUAUGAAACGUUAAUAAUGACUUCAAAAUAAAUAACUCGUGGAGGUGAAAAGUAUGGCAUAAGUAGUGUAGUCAGGAAUGUUGAAAUAGCAUUGUAUGGUGACAGAUUGUGACUACAUUUAUUGUGGUGAGCACUGAAUACUGUGUAGCAUUAUCAAUUGUUGUAUUGUACACCUGAAACUAGUAUAGUAUUGCACAUCAACAACAACAAAAAGAGUUAAUGAAUUACCCGCAAUGACUAACAUAAACUCGAGAAGUAAUCGUUAAUACUGGUCAAUUCUUUAGAAGAAAUGUGCCCGCUACAAGUGCAGAAGCAGAAAACCUGCAUAUGCAGAAGUAAUGAACUAUUCUGGGAAGUUCUUCUGGUGUGUUCGCAUUACCAAAUUUUUCCCAGUUAGAAACCUUUGUGAUUAUUAUGUGUAUUCUGAUUAUUAUGGUUUUCCUUUAAACAAUAUGGGGGGGGGUCGCCUGGGUGGCUCAGUUGGUUAAGUGUCUGAGUCUUGAUUUUCACUCAGGUGAUGAUAUUGUGGUUGUGAAAUCAAGCCCCACGUCAGGCUUUCUGCUAAGCAUGGAGUCUGCUUAAGAUUUUCUGUCUCAACUCAUGCACUCUCUCUCUCUCCCCCACUUCUCUAAAAUAAAAGAUAAAAAACCACCAAUAUUGGACCUGCAAUCACUACAAUGUAAUUGAAAAGGUUUGGCCAUUUAGGACUUGACGUAUUUGAUGAUUAUGUCCUAUGAUGAUCGCAAUAGCUCUUUUCACUGUGGAUGUAAUUUAAGAUAAUUGACCUUGGCUCCCAUGAUUUGCUUUCAGCUUGGGGACAGAACUCCCACCAUGGUCAAUUAUCUCACAGUAAUUCCAACAAUAAAAGUCACUAUUGCAUAAUAAUUUCCUAAUCACCUUCUUGCACUGGAGAGUAUAACAUGGCAUAUACUAAUAGGACUGCUUCUAGUGAAAUUGCUGCCCCACCACAGGCACAGAAUUGAGGAUUGAAAAUUGUUACACAUUAUAUUAUUCUACAUGUGACUGGUAAUGUUGGGAUAAGAACCCAGGUUCUUGUAAUAUUGAGAAUCAUACUGAUAUCCAUAGCUAGAGAUUGCAGCUGGUGAUAUUCCCAGCAUCAUCUUUUGGCAUGGAUGGAGCCCAAUGACUUGGCUUCAUCUUGACUCCUACAGCUACAGAGCUGUUCCAGAGAGUUGAGCAGUUGCCAUCUAGUGGGCAAAAACCAUAAUGGCAUAAAGAAAGCAGAACAGUUUGGUUAUCGAGAUGGAAGCAGUAAUGUACAUCACUGGAAGAGGGAACGUAUUAAAUCCCCCACAAUUUUUGCAACACUGAUGUCAUUUGGAAAUAAAUUCAGACAUCAUAUCUACAGAGAAAUGUAUCAAAAUUUGAAAUAUUUUGAGGUAAAAUGUAAAAGAUAAUUAAAACCCUAAGGAGAUGACACUAAAUACCUAUUAGAAUGACUUAAAAAUCACAAGUGACAAUAUUAAAUACUGAUUAAGAUGUGAAGUAAUCAGAAUGCAUCACACUGCUGAUGGGAAUGCAAAAUGGUAUAGCAUUUUGGAAAGUGGAAAACUUUCCAAACAGUUUGGAAAGUUUCUUAUCAAGUUAAGUGAAAAUUUACCAUAUAACUCAGCAAUUUCAUUCUUGGGCAUUUCUCUAAAAGAAAUGAAAAAUGUAUCUUCACACAUCUGAACACAAAUAUUUUUCAUAGCUUUAUAAAUAAUCAUCAAAAACUGGAAACAGCCCAAAUGUCCAUCAGCUAAAUAAUGGAUAAACAGUCUCCAUACUAUGGAAUACUUUUCUGCAAUAUAAAUGAACAAACUAGUGAUACAUGUGACAACAUGGAUGUUUCAAAUGUAUUUUGCUAUAUGAAAGAAGUCAGAUUCGAAUACUACAUCUUACAUGAUUCUAUAACAUUAUAGAAAAGGAAAAAUCUUAGGGAUAGAAAUCAUAUCAGGGGUUGCCAGGGACUAGAGGUUGGGACAGGGUAUGGAUCACAAAGAAAUAGGAGAGAACUUUUAAAAUGAGAACAGUGUUCUCUAUCUCAAUUUUAUGACAGUGGUUAUGUGAAUUUAAAGGUUUAACAAAAGUCAUAGAACUAUAUACCUAAAUAGGUAUACGUCAAUUGAAAAAAGAGGAAUCAAAUAUUUUAGGACAGUAGUUUAAACCAGGCCAAUUUAGCCAUCAAUCACUGAAAAACAUGGGAGGGGUUAACAGUAUCAUUAGUCAGCAGUAAGAAAUUCAGACAAACAGAAGGGAAAGAGCUCUUCACACAUCCAUUUCUUUUAAUUCUGAAGUGACACUGUUCACAUAACCAAGCGUACAUAUUUGUGAAAAAGUAAACUUUAAUACUGAUUUCACACUUCAUGGACAAUGUGACGUUAAAAUGUUUCAUGAUGGAAUUAACAAUGUUUUAAAAACAACAAAAGAAAUAUACAAAUACACAGCAAAUAAAUAUAAACUAUGGCCCAAUGUAAAAGGUCAAAUUUUAUCUAUGUAUCAGAGAGAGUGAGAGUGAGGGCCAGAGAGAAAGAAUCCCACAAAGGGGGGGGGGGCGGAGUGAGAGAGAGAGAGAGAGAGAGAGAGAAAGAAAGAGAGAGAAAGAGAAAGAGAAAGAGAAAGAAGUAGGGCUCACCUGGGUCUUAUGUUCACCCCCAGUGGAGCUUGAGCUCACCUGAUGUGGGACUCAAACUCAUGAACUGUGAGAUCAUGACCUGAGCCAGUCAGAUGCUUAAUAACUGAGCCAUACAGGCAUCCCCCAGGUCAAAUUGUAAAUAGCCACAAAUGAGCAAUAGUGACAUCUUGAGGUAGGGUGGAAAGCCUAUGUGUGUAUUUUGUGCAUAAUUUCAUUUAUAUUUAUAGAUAUAUAGUGAAAGGUAUUAGACUGAUAUACAUGCACAUAUUUACAUCAAAGUAAAGGAGAGUUAAUUUGUCCAUGAUAAUAUUGCCGAGAAGUGGCAGGACUUGAAACUCCUUCUCACUGUGACUCUUCCAUCUCUCCAGCUUCCUUACCUUGAUGUGGGCACGGGUCUGCCCUGCGCUGAGUUGUUCCUAAUAAUAUAGUAGUAGAUUGCCUGUUACGGAAGAUCCAGGGUUUCAGGGAAAGGCCAAAAGGAAAAGAAUGUACAGUCAUAAAUAUCUACCAUAGGUCAGCUGGGGAAAAGUCUUUCCUCAAGCCUCAGAGGCCCAUCAUGUAGGAAUAUAAACUACCUGCUCUGGGGACCAGGGUACAACUAUUGCGAAAACACUAUUGUUAGCUUCUCCAAACAUCCCUUUUCAGGUCCAGGUUUUUUGGAUAGGCAACCUCUAGAAAGCAUUUCAUUCAGCUCAAGUUUCCCAGUGGAAUCAAUCAUCCAAUCAAAUACCUUAAUAAAAGAAAAUGUUGGCAGAAAGCAUGUUCUCAUAAAUCUGGAUGUCAGUUUUAAAAUGGAAAGUGAGAAAUUUAUCACCUCUACCUCAGGCCCUUUAUGAGUCCCCAUGUUUAGAUCACAUUUUAAGCAUUUGCUACAUGUUAACCUUUCUUUCAUUUGAAUCCAUUCCACAAUACUGUAUGCCUUAUGUAGCUCUGAUGUACAGAUGAGCAAACUGGAGGUUUAAAUAUGUUAAGUAUAAUGCUCCAAGCCAUACAUCUAGUAAGUCAUGGUAUAACUCUCUCUGGGUCUGUCUGAUUCCUAAGCCUUUGCCCCUACCUAGCAUGAUUUUUUAAAAGCUAAUAACUUCAUUUUCCUUUAAAGAAUACACUUGGCUGACCACCAUAAUUCCAGUAUUGCAACAUGAGAUACUACCAGGCAUUGUGCUAAAUAUGUUACAAUAUUAUCAUAUUUAAAACUCAACACAUGAUCUUAAAGGGAAGUCUUAACACUCUGUUUUAAAGAUGAGGGAACUGUGACUGAAAAUGGUUUAAUGGCAUUCCCAGUGUUACCUGCUCAACAGGAAAUGGUGGAGCUGAGAUUCAAACCCAGGUCUAUGGGAUUCCAAAGCCCAUGUUUUUAUACAUGACCUUUGUAAUUCAGUGAAUCUCGUUUUGAAUCUCAGUGGUCCCCAAAAGUAAACCACCACUACUUUUUAUUCUACUUUGUUCUAUCAUUAUUUAUUAAGACAUCUUACAUCUCACACUAGAGAGAUCUUGAGGAAAUGGACAAUUUCUGUUUAACCUUCUAUUCCCUUUUUCCUUUCCUGUUAAUUACCCUAAACAACCAAGUGCCUAAUUUGAAGCAAUUCAGUAAAGUGAUUGGUUGAUUGAAUAGAAUGAAAGCAUUAAAGUAAUGAAUGAUUUGAAACUGGAUCAAAGAUAGGUCUGAUCUAGUAUGUUAGUUAACUCAUCCAUUAAUCUAUUCAUUUAGCAAUUAUUUACUGAUAACCUGCUAUGUUCUCCACCCUGUGCCAGGUGCUCAGAUAAUUUUCAGCUGGAACCCAGCAGUGUGGUAACCCAGGAAGCAUUCAUUCCAAUUGAUUAAUGCUUGUGCCAGAUCAAUUGUUAGCUAUCUUGAAUGUUACCCCUGGUUGACUUAUUGGCAUAUGGUGAUGAGAAAAAAUAAAAAGAAAAAAGAGAGAGAGAGAGGGAAAGGUCAUUGUCAUGACCAUGACCAAUAAAAGUAAAAUAAUUCCUAUAAUAGAAUGAAAGGUAUAAAGUGCUAGGACAGUGGACAUCAAGGUCACUUGAUGUAAUCUGGAUGGAAAAGCACUUAUGAUGAAAACCAGGGAGAGAUAAUCCAAUCAGUUCCUCCAUCAUACAAAUUUACUUUUCAUCUUGUGAAGGCUAAAAUUAUAUUUCUGUUUUAUGGUAUCAGUGGUGUUGUAUAAAUAGCAGUAAUUCAUCUAUUCAUUUCCACAACGUUCUUGUAUCCUGUGAUAGAUGUGUCAAUAAUAGUAAGUUGAGCGAUGCUCAAGGCCCCUAAGGACGGAGUGUUGCACUUCAUUAAAUGUCUGUUGAGGUGAACUGAAGGUGUUGUGGGAAUACUUGUUAAUGUCCUUUUAAGGAGUGUUCAGAUUACUUUAUGAAUGAAUGCAGUCAUCUCAGUCAAAAGCUCAGGAAAAUUCACCAAGAAAAGGUGAUGCUUCAUAUAUAGAGUAAACUUACCUCACUAGUGAGGGAGGGUAGAAAAAGAACUUCUCCAAAGAAGUUCUCUUGACUUCUAUAAGAAAAUAACCUUAUACUGAAAUGGAGUGACCCAGGAGAUGGACACCUUAUGUCUAGGAGUUAUUUUGUGUUACCUACCUUUGGUUGUUUUUUCAGUAGAAAGAUAAAGAGUGAAUUGCUUGAAUAGUUUUAAAAAAUUAAAAAAAAUAAAAAUGAAAAAGCAAUUCUAUACUGAGGUAACAGCAAGGCAAUUAAGUGUAUAUGUGUUCUGGCUCAAGUAUAUCUGACAUUUUCUUCAUAGACCUUAAAUUAACAGAAGAUCUCGAAGAAUUGUAUUUUCAUCCUUCUGUCCAAUUCUUGUUUGACAGGGUAUGAUCCAGGCUCUUAAGAAGGCAGUGCUUGGAUAAGGGGAGAAUGUGUUCUUGGGAGUCUCCUAUUCUGGAAGUCUGGGUCUGUACUGUCUGAUAUCUGUUAUCCAGGGAAUCUUGCUCAUCCUGCUGCAAAUAAAAAGUAUUUCUCAUGUUAGCACUGUGUGCCUGUGCUCAGCCUGUUAAGAGGAGAUGGGAGGUGACUGGGAUAAGUUGGAAACAAGUGUAGGAAUAGAGGCAGUUCAACUCAAUUUAACAAGCACUUACUGCACACAGCUGGACACAAAGUGCAGUCUCUUCUGAGCAUUAUGGAGGAUCCAAAGAUUCAGCAUUCAAGUUUGUUGACCAUUAGAAGCUUUCGAUCUAAGAGGUAUUUAGUAUAGAUCCAGUUUUAAUUAUAAGAAUACAUGAUGAAUAAUAUGAGAAGUAAAAAGUACUGUAAAGGUGUAGGAAAUAAGAGAUAGCUUCUUGACAUUGGAUAUGAAAAUAUUAACCAUGUUCUCAUUCCCUCUUUCAAAGCUUUUUGUUUUCCCAAUUCAUGUUGGCUCAAGUCUAAGCUGUUUAGCACUGCACAUGACAUCCUCCAUGAACUGACCCUGCCUACAUUUUAGUUUUUAUACACCAGUAAUAGUAAACUUCUUGUGGUACUUUCUUCUUCCUUUUCUACCUAUCCCUUCCAGAACUCCACACAGCGCAGUGUUUAGCAUAUAGCCAAAGGUAAAAAAAAAUUGUUUUGAAUAAAUUAAUGAAUACUCAUGCCAUUCGGCUUCAUGUCUUCAUGUCCUUACAUAUGCUGUUCUCUUUAAGUGGAAUGUCUUUCUCCAUCUCAUUAAAAUUUCUGAACUCAUUCUGUGAGACUUAUCUGCUCUAACUUCUAAGCUUGCUCUCAAUGUUCCUCCUCUGUGUUGCCAUAGUUGCCAGAAUAUACCUCCCUCAUAGCACUUUAUGGUGAAAUAGUCCGUUUGUGUGUCUGUCUCCACACCAUAAAGUAACCUCUUUGAUGCAGAGGCUACUUCUUACCUGUCGUGCUACUCCGGGUAGCUAUGUCUGCAAGUGAACUAUAAUUAAGAGUAUAGAUUUUAGAAUUAGUUUGGGUUUAAUCCUGAUUCUUCCUCUUUCUAACUGUAUGAUCUUGGAUAAGUUACUUAGCCUCUCUGUACCUCAGUUUCCUCAUCUAUAAAGUGGGGGUACUAAUAGUAUCUUCCAGGUUGAAUUGUUGUAAGGAUUAAAGUAGUUACUAUGAAUGAAUGACUUGGAACAGUGGUACAAAAUGAGCACCGUAUUAAUGCAAAUCAGAACAUUUCCAGAAAUACUGACUAGAACAACUAUGGAACUGUAUGGAGAAAGGAGAGUCAAGUCUUUGUACAGGUGGAAACUUUUGAAAUGUAAGAAUAUGUUUUUGGUGAGUAGAGGUGACCUGUGGAGAGAAAGUCAUCACAGUAUAAAGUUAGAGUCAGGCAGAGUAUACCACUGGGACAUUUAGCUCCCUCCAUAUCCCCCGUGCCACACAUGCUGUCAACAGAGAGCCAAGUGUUAGAAUAUGUUUGGGAAAGGACUUCUCCUGCAAAUUUAAUUUAUUUGUUUCUUUGUUUCUUUCUCUUUUUACUAUCAAUGUCUCCUAUGGGAGCCAAUGAAAUGGUGAAAUAAGAAAUUGCAGGUUUGUAGUAUUGACUGAAAGUGGUAAAAACUGUAAGCUCUGUAAGUAGAUUCUUCACUAAUUGUAAGCUAGGCAUAUUUGAUAAUAAAUGCAACUAGGUCAAUAUUCAUAGAAGAAUGUUACAGAAUAGAAUAAAAUUUUGUAGGAUAUUUUGAAGAAGGCAAAAGAUACAGGUGUAGGUCACAAAAUAUAUGAAUUUUUUACAUCAAGUAAUAGCCCUGCAUUGUCUUCCAUUACAAAAUUGAUGACAUUAGGGGAAAAAAAACUCAUUCUGAAAACCUCAAUUUAGUGGAAUCACUGCUGUAUCCCUGGCACUGAUAUGAAUGCUUAUCUAAUGCCUUUCUUGUCUUGAGGGAGGAGCCACUUGAGAGGUAGAGGUAAAUUGACAGCAGGUGCACCUCAAGGGGUGUUUCCUGUUUAUGUGACCUCAGAUGGGGAAAAUAAGAAAUAAUGCCCUAGAGCGGCUUGGAGGGCACAGUGAGAAUUGCGGUGAGUUGAAAACAGCUUUUUACUCCAAGGGGUCGAACGGAGAAUGUGAUCCAAAUGAAGGUGCCAUUUAGGCUCUUUCCACAGUUUGAUAUUGUUGAAAGUGCUGCUAUAAACAUUGGGGUACAAGUGUCCCUAUGCAUCAGCACUCCUGUAUCCCUU
Molecule: long non-coding RNA, 9300 nt
Organism: Felis catus (domestic cat)
Lineage: Eukaryota; Metazoa; Chordata; Mammalia; Carnivora; Felidae
Exons: 4
Source: RefSeq, a predicted model, not a curated record